AUGCCAUACAAGCAUCUCGACAAGCAUAUGAAUAAGCAUCUCAACAAGCAACUCCUCAAGCAUCUCGACAAGCAUCUCAACAAGCAACUCCUCAAGCAUCUCAACAAGCAACUCCUCAAGCAUAUCAACAAGCAUCUCGACAAGUGGAGUGCAGUUGAGGUCUGGGACAACCAUCUUCUGCUGCUUUCAGUUCAUUCCUCUCUUUGCUACGUGGUCAUUGUUUCAGGACAGAUCGAGUUCGUUUCCAGCGACAGCAGAGAGAUGUACUCCAGCAGAGGAUCAAAUGAUCAGAGAGAGAGGAGAUGA
RNAcentral lists this ribosomal RNA (306 nucleotides) under Triticum aestivum (bread wheat). RNAcentral's name for it is "partial small subunit ribosomal RNA". Lineage: Eukaryota; Viridiplantae; Streptophyta; Magnoliopsida; Poales; Poaceae. The record is from RNAcentral.